RNAcentral lists this ribosomal RNA (253 nucleotides) under uncultured bacterium. RNAcentral describes it as "partial 16S ribosomal RNA". It matches the Rfam family "Bacterial small subunit ribosomal RNA", at positions 524 to 776 of the family's 1533-position model. The record is from RNAcentral.
UACGAAGGGUGCAAGCGUUGUUCGGAAUUACUGGGCGUAAAGCGCGCGUAGGCGGGCUUGUGUGUCGAUUGUGAAAGCCCUGGGCUUAACCUGGGAAUGGCAGUCGAAACUGCAAGUCUUGAAUGUCUGAGAGGAUGGCGGAAUUCCCGGUGUAGUAGUGAAAUACGUAGAUAUCGGGAAGAACACCUGAGGCGAAGGCGGCUAUCUGGCGGUACAUUGACGCUGAUGCGCGAAAGCGUGGGGAGCAAACAGG